AUACGGAGGGUGCGAGCGUUAUGCGGAUUUAUUAGGUUUAAAGGGUGUGUAGGCGGGAGCCUAAGUCAGUGGUGAAAUCUCACAGCUUAACUGUGAAACUGCCAUUGAAACUGGGUUUCUUGAGUAUAGUUGAGGUAGGCGGAAUGUGUAAUGUAGCGGUGGAAUGCAUAGAUAUUACACAGAACGCCGAUUGCGAAGGCAGCUUACUAAGCUAUUACUGACGCUGAUGCACGAAAGCGUGGGUAGCGAACAGGAUUAGAAACCCCAGUAGUCC
This 274-nucleotide ribosomal RNA is filed under the name uncultured bacterium. RNAcentral's name for it is "partial 16S ribosomal RNA". It matches the Rfam family "Bacterial small subunit ribosomal RNA", at positions 523 to 796 of the family's 1533-position model. The record is from RNAcentral.